Molecule: long non-coding RNA, 1139 nt
Organism: Oncorhynchus gorbuscha (pink salmon)
Lineage: Eukaryota; Metazoa; Chordata; Actinopteri; Salmoniformes; Salmonidae
Exons: 2
Source: RefSeq, a predicted model, not a curated record
AAUUGUGCGCCGCCCUAUGGAACUCCCAAUCAUGGCCGGUUGUGAUACAGCCUGGAAUUUAACCAGGGUCUGUAGUGACGCCUCUAGCAUGAAGAUGCAGUGCCUUAGACCGCUGCACCACUCGGAAGCCCAAGGUUAGGUAGGCUAAGGUUACUUUUAAUAAGCAUCUUGGCAAGCCAGCUAAGUCUUACAAAUAAACAUUCAUGCCAAAUAGAGAUAAAUACCCAACCUGACAUUGGCAAUUAGCUAUUUGUUACUUUUAUUUCAGUAUUUUAGUUUGUAGUCACAAUCAAAUGUAUUUAUAAAGCCCUUUUUACAUCAGCCGAUGUCACAAAGUGCUAUACAGAAACCUAGCCUAAAACCCCUAACAGCAAGCAAUGCAGAUGUAGAAGCACGGUGGCUCUGAAAAACUCCCUAAAAUGGUAGGAUUCAAGGAAGAAACCUAGAGAGGAACCAGGCUCUGAGGGGUGGCCAUCGAACCAACUUGACACGAUUGUGGGAAGAAUCUGGAGUCAUCAUGGACCAGCAUCCCUGUGGAACAUUUGACCACUUGUAGAGCCCAUUCACCCAAACACUGAGGCUGUUCUGAGGGCAAAAGGGGAGGGGGGAGUGCAACUCAAUAUUAGUAAGGUAUUCCUACUGUUUGGUUUAGCAUAUGUUUUACUCAUUGUAAGUAAGAAUUGGUUCUUAACUAGGAGCUGAGGAGCUGCAGGAGAAAUCCAUCUCAAAAUCGUCUCUGUAUGCUGUGCACGUGUGAUAGCUGUGUUGGAUACCUAAGAUGCAUGGUGACUUGUGAAAAUACACACAGGACACAGGAUUUAAUUCCCCUAAAUGAUGUACAUUAACCCGUGAGAGGACUAUGUUUCAUGGAGGCAGACUGGACUGAAUGUUGCUGAUCUCUGUUGAAUGCGCGUGAUGGGCAGUGGACUAAGAGGAGCAAGCAGCCAGGCAACAACCCAGACUGUACUGUUCCAUAGAGAAGUCAGCCAGAGUUGGUGUCAACAUUGACGUGGGCCAACAUUCAAAGAAAGAGACGCCUGCCUGGCAAACCAGUGCAUAUUUCCAAACUGUGCAUGUUUGCAUUAACUGAUUUAUUUUUGUUUGGGUAUGAAUGUAAUGAUAAUAAAAUCUCAAAAUGA